RNAcentral lists this ribosomal RNA (1000 nucleotides) under Paenarthrobacter nicotinovorans. Its description in RNAcentral is "bacterial SSU rRNA". It matches the Rfam family "Bacterial small subunit ribosomal RNA", at positions 119 to 1133 of the family's 1533-position model. The record is from RNAcentral. Lineage: Bacteria; Bacillati; Actinomycetota; Actinomycetes; Micrococcales; Micrococcaceae.
GAGUAACCUGCCCUUGACUCUGGGAUAAGCCUGGGAAACUGGGUCUAAUACCGGAUAUGACUCCUCAUCGCAUGGUGGGGGGUGGAAAGCUUUUGUGGUUUUGGAUGGACUCGCGGCCUAUCAGCUUGUUGGUGGGGUAAUGGCCUACCAAGGCGACGACGGGUAGCCGGCCUGAGAGGGUGACCGGCCACACUGGGACUGAGACACGGCCCAGACUCCUACGGGAGGCAGCAGUGGGGAAUAUUGCACAAUGGGCGCAAGCCUGAUGCAGCGACGCCGCGUGAGGGAUGACGGCCUUCGGGUUGUAAACCUCUUUCAGUAGGGAAGAAGCGUAAGUGACGGUACCUGCAGAAGAAGCGCCGGCUAACUACGUGCCAGCAGCCGCGGUAAUACGUAGGGCGCAAGCGUUAUCCGGAAUUAUUGGGCGUAAAGAGCUCGUAGGCGGUUUGUCGCGUCUGCUGUGAAAGACCGGGGCUCAACUCCGGUUCUGCAGUGGGUACGGGCAGACUAGAGUGCAGUAGGGGAGACUGGAAUUCCUGGUGUAGCGGUGAAAUGCGCAGAUAUCAGGAGGAACACCGAUGGCGAAGGCAGGUCUCUGGGCUGUAACUGACGCUGAGGAGCGAAAGCAUGGGGAGCGAACAGGAUUAGAUACCCUGGUAGUCCAUGCCGUAAACGUUGGGCACUAGGUGUGGGGGACAUUCCACGUUUUCCGCGCCGUAGCUAACGCAUUAAGUGCCCCGCCUGGGGAGUACGGCCGCAAGGCUAAAACUCAAAGGAAUUGACGGGGGCCCGCACAAGCGGCGGAGCAUGCGGAUUAAUUCGAUGCAACGCGAAGAACCUUACCAAGGCUUGACAUGAACCGGAAAGACCUGGAAACAGGUGCCCCGCUUGCGGUCGGUUUACAGGUGGUGCAUGGUUGUCGUCAGCUCGUGUCGUGAGAUGUUGGGUUAAGUCCCGCAACGAGCGCAACCCUCGUUCUAUGUUGCCAGCGGUUCGGCCG